UCACGAACAUGGCAAACUACAUGAAAAUGUAGGACGCAAAGCUUCCGGCCUAAGUAUUUAUAUAAGGUAGCGGGGUUGCCGAC
This is a regulatory RNA element of 83 nucleotides. It matches the Rfam family "c-di-GMP-I riboswitch aptamer". From Rfam's summary of the family: GEMM was predicted in a large-scale screen for bacterial structured RNA regulatory elements. Genes associated with GEMM are involved in a diverse array of functions, including chemotaxis regulation, signal transduction, secretion and chitin. The record is from Rfam.